RNAcentral lists this ribosomal RNA (1409 nucleotides) under Atta texana. RNAcentral describes it as "16S ribosomal RNA". Lineage: Eukaryota; Metazoa; Arthropoda; Insecta; Hymenoptera; Formicidae. The record is from RNAcentral.
AUUAAGAAUAAUAAUAUUAGUAGUAAUGUAAAUGAAUUUAAAAAUUUAAAAUAUGUAAAAGUAAUUUUAAUUAAGUGUACCUUUUGUAUUUAGGGUUUAUUAAAAUAUAAGUUAUGAAUUAUAAUUUUCUCGAAAUUAAAAGAGCUAAUAAUAAAAAUAAUUUAAAUUAUGUUAGUUAAUGUAAAAUAAUUAUUAAUAAUAGAUUAUUAGAGGAUAGAUUCUAGUCAAUUUUAAUGAUAUCUAGUUUUUUUUGAUUUAAAUUUAAUUUAGUCUUAAAGAAAAGAAUUAAUGAAAUAAUUAGUAAUAAUUUUUUUUAAAAAAAUUAUUAUUAUUUAAGAAAAUAAAUUAUGGGAUAAACUAUAGUUUAAAUUAAAAUAAAAUUUAAUAUAUUUUAAUAUAAGUUAAAAUUAAGAUUUAAAAUAAUACUAAUAAAAUUUUAGUUUUAUAAAAAAAAUUUAAUAAUUUAUUAAAAUUAAUUAAAAUUUAAUAAAUAAAAAAUUAAAAUAAUUAUAAAAUAUUAAAUAGAUUAAAAUAAUAAAAUGAUUUUUAAAAGAUAAGAAUUUAAUUAGAUAAAAAAAUAUUAUCUUAAAUAAUUAAAGAUAAGAAAUAAUGAUAAAAUAAGUAAAAGAAAAUUAAUUAUAAAUAAAUUAUAAGAAGGAAGUGAAAUUUUAAUUUUAGGAAUUAGGCAAAAAUAUUAGGUCCAACUGUUUAAUAAAGACAUAGUUUUUUGAUUAUAAUAAAAAAUGGUUUUACUGCUCAAUGAUUAAUAAUUAAAUAGCUGCAGUAUAUUGACUGUACAAAGGUAGCAUAAUAGAUUGUUUAUUAAUUGUAAACUAGAAUGAAUGUAGGAAUGAGACUUAGACUGUCUUAAAUUAAGAAAUUGAAUUUAGUAAUUAAAUAAAAAUAUUUAAAUGAAAUUAUGGGACGAGAAGACCCUAUAGAAUUUUAUAUAUAAGUUUAUAAAAAUUAUAAAUUUGAAAGAUGGAUAAAAUUAUAUAUUUAGUUGGGAGGAUUAUUAAAUUUGAUAAACUUUAAUUUAAAAUAAAAUAUAAAUGAAUAGAAAAAAAAAAUUGAUGGAUUUAUUAAAAAUUAAGAAAGAAAUAAUUACCUUAGGGAUAACAGCGUAAUAUUUUUAGAAAGAUCAUAUUGAUAAAAAUGGUUGCGACCUCGAUGUUGAAUUAAGAUAAAAAUUAAAUGUAGAAGUUUAAUAUUUGAGUCUGUUCGACUUUUAAAAUCUUACAUGAUUUGAGUUUAGAUCGGCGUGAGCUAGAUUGGUUUCUAUCUAUAAUAAAUUUAAUAAAUAUUUGUACGAAAGGACUAUAUUUAUGAAUUUAAUUUUUGUAAAAAAGUAAUAUAAGUGUAUUAAGUAAUAAUAAAAUUAAAAAAUUUAUUAUGUAUUAAAUUAUUUU